AUUGUGAUGAGGACAGUCUCUUAGUAGCCCCAUGAACCUUUCCCAAGCUGAGUUUAAAGAUUCACCUGCUUUCUGUUUGAAGGCUACUAUUUCACUUCUGAUCUU
Molecule: non-coding RNA, 105 nt
Organism: Nicotiana attenuata
Lineage: Eukaryota; Viridiplantae; Streptophyta; Magnoliopsida; Solanales; Solanaceae
Source: Rfam